Molecule: long non-coding RNA, 2496 nt
Filed under: Canis lupus familiaris (dog)
Lineage: Eukaryota; Metazoa; Chordata; Mammalia; Carnivora; Canidae
Description: lncRNA (ENSCAFG00845020707.1)
Source: RNAcentral
UUUUUUUUUUUUUUUUUUUUUUAAUCUGGAAAUUCACAAAAAUGCAAUCCUUUUUUGCUUCUUCUACUCUUCUUUUUCACCAAUUUUUGACUGGCAACAUACUGCAUCCUGGAUGAACAUGUCCAAGCUGUUAAUGUAUUUGUUUUCAUUUGUUCUUAGCAUGUGAAUAAAGCUCUCCCUACAUAUUCACUUUAGGAUCCACAGAAUCUGCAUACAUAUAUAUAUAUGUAUAUACAUACAUACAUAUAUAUAUUCUAUUUGAAUAAUUUCUUAAGCAAGUCACCUCCUUUCUCCACAAGUGAAACUAAUUUAAAAAACCUGACCUCAGUGCUACUAUACACCUAUUACAAUGGUCAAAAUCAGAAUAAUGACAACAUCUACUGCUGGUAAGGAUGUGGAGUAGCAGCAACUCAUUCAUGGCUGGUAGAGCUGCAAAAUUGUACAGACACUUCGGAAAACAGUGACAUACAAAGCUAAACAUAGUGCUAUUAUUCAAUCCAGCAAUCAUUCUCCUAAGUAUUUAUCCAAAUGAGUUGAAAACUUAUGUCUACACAAAAACCUGCACACGAGUGUUUAUAGCAGCUGCAUUUGUAAUUGCCAAAAACUAGAAUUGAACAUUAUUCAAAAAUAAAAAGAAAUAAAUUAUCAAGCCACAAAAAGACAUAAAGAAACUGUAAAUGCAUACCAAUAAAUGAAAGAAGCCAGCCUGGAAAGGCUACAUAGUGUAUGACUCCCAGCUAUAAUGACAUUCUAGAAAAGGCAAAACUAUAGAGACAGUGAAGAGAUCAGUGGUUGCUAGGGAGAAGGGAGCAAGGUGUUUUUUAGAGCAGUGAAAUAAAUCUGUAUGAUACUGUAAUGGUGGAUACAUGACAUUAUGCAUUUAUCAAAACCCACAGAACUAUACAACAUAAAGAGUCAGCCCUAAUGUAAACCAGGGAUUUUGUUAAUAAUAAUGUAACAAUAUCAGUUCAUCAAUUGUAACAAAUGUACCACACUAAUGCAAGAUGUUAUUAAAAGCAGAAAUUGGGUGGAUUGGCGGGGGCAGUGAGGUGGGUACAUAGAACUCUCUGCACAUUCUGAUAAUUUUUCCACAAACUUGAAACUCUUCCCCAAAUCAAAGUCUAUUAAUUAAACAGAUAACUUUUUUAAACUCUUCAGAGCUUUUUUAUACCGAUCUGUAUAAGUACUGAUUUCUUACUAGUUUCACGCUGAAUAGCUAGGAAAUAUUCUUUCAUUUUUCCCAUUAGUUAUGAUUCCCUGCUCUGUGUACCUUACUUCUAACACUGAUGCAACAUGACAAUGGGAAUAGCAAAAGAACAUUUCACUCCAGACUAUAAAGUUUCUUUAGAUCAAUUUUUUCAACUAGUUUUAAAUCUGCCUAUAAUUUAAUCCCUGUUUCUCUAUCUCACACAAAGGUAUCCUACACGAUUAUGUCACUGCCUUAAUGAAAAUCAAAAGGUAUUAUGCUGAGCACAGUGUCUGGCAUAUAGCUGUUAACUUAAUAAAAGUCAUAUUAUUAAUAUUCUCUUACCAUAAUCUAGUGGUCCCACCCACAAAAAAUAAUUGUUAGUUUGAUAUUCCUUAUUUUUAGUGACGUCAUUCUGACUCUUAAGCAUCCCCAUAUUCUUUGCUAAGUGUUUAAAAAUAAUCUAUUUAAAAUUUUCUUCUUGUUUUUUUUUUAUCCCUUUAAAAUUUGAUAGUAAGUCUACAGACUUGCCAUCUAUAAAACCUGCCCAUUUUGUUCUCUUAGGAAAUAGCAAUAUACUCAUGUUUUCCUCUAUUUUAAUUACUUCUAGCAUAUGGGUCUGGAAGUUUGAACUCCUUUAAAGAGACCCACUGGAUAUAUUAGUAAAGUUAUCAGGCCAUCUUUGCAAACCUGAGACUGACAAGCUCACUUGGACAACUUGAGUUUCAAUUCCUUCUACAUGAUAUACUUUUUCCUAUAUUUCCCCUUGGAAGACAAUUCUUAAAGUGAAAGAUGCAGUAAUCCAAGGAUCACAGAUUUUUGCUUUCCAUUUAACCCCUUACCAGAGUGGUGCUGGGUCUCCUCCUAUACAUAAUAUAAAGAGAUACUUUGUUAUUGUUUCUGAUGAUAUGACAUUUGUUGUCAGCUCAGCUUAUACCCAACUUGGAGCUUUUUACAAGUUUGUGCUGCUUUAUUAAUCCUGGGACAUAUUGCACUUUUCAUCUCUUUCAAAGAUUGUUUUUCAGUUUUAUUGGGGCACAACUGACAAUUAAAAAUUAUAUAUAUAUUUAAGGUUUAUAAUUUUUGAUGAUUUUGUAUAUACAAAAUAUACAUAAAUAUCCACUAGAAUGAAGCUAAUUAACAUAUUCCUCACCCCACAUAGUUAUCAUUUUUUUCUUUCAUCUUUUUUUUUUAUGAUGUUAACACUUAAAAUCUAUCCUCUUAGCAAAUUUCAACUAUACAAUGCAAUAUUCUUAACUAGUACAUGUGAGCUCCAGAACUUCUUUAUCUUGGAUAACUGAAACUUGUAC